Molecule: unclassified non-coding RNA, 355 nt
Filed under: soil metagenome
Description: partial contains 5.8S ribosomal RNA, internal transcribed spacer 2, and large subunit ribosomal RNA
Rfam family: 5.8S ribosomal RNA (bases 1-120)
Source: RNAcentral
GAUGAAGAACGUAGCGAAAUGCGAUAAGUAAUGUCAAUUGCAGAAUUCAGUGAAUCAUCGAAUCUUUGAACGCACAUUGCGCCCAUUAGUAUUCUAGUGGGCAUGCCUGUUCGAGCGUCAUUAAGUCCACUUAAGCCCUGCUUAGUGUUGGGAGACUGCUCCAGCGGUGCUACCCUGUAGCUACCCUGCAGCUCCUCAAAGACAGCGGCGGAGUUGUGGUAUCCUCUGAGCUUAGUAACUUGUUCUAGCUUUCGAGUACACCACUUCCCCUGCCGUAAAACCCUUAAUUUUUAAUGGUUGACCUCGGAUCAGGUAGGAAUACCCGCUGAACUUAAGCAUAUCAAUAAGCGGAGGA